UGCAAAAAGCUCCGACCGUAUGGGAAGAGCGCUUUUAUUAGACCAAAACCAAUGGGAUCGCAAGAUUCCUUUGUCUGGUGACUCUGGAUAACUUUGUGCUGAUCGCAUGGCCUUGAGCCGGCGACGUAUCUUUCAAGUGUCUGCCCUAUCAACUUUCGAUGGUAAGCGAUUUGCCUACCAUGGUUGUAACGGGUAACGGGGAAUCAGGGUUCGAUUCCGGAGAGGGAGCAUGAGAAAUGGCUACCACAUCUACGGAAGGCAGCAGGCGCGCAAAAUUACCCACUCCUAGAACGGGGAGGUAGUGACGAAAAAUACAAUACCGGACUCAAUGAGGCUCGGUAAUUGAAAUGAGUACAGUUUAAAACCCUACGAGGAUCUAUUGGAGGGCAAGUCUGGUGCCAGCAGCCGCGGUAAUUCCAGCUCCAAUAGCGUAUAUUAAAGUUGUUGUCAGUUAAAAAGCUCGUAGUUGGAUCUCGGGUACUAGCAUGUGGUACGCUUAACUGCGUUACUACAUGUCUGGUCCUAAU
RNAcentral lists this ribosomal RNA (527 nucleotides) under uncultured eukaryote. RNAcentral's name for it is "SSU rRNA". It matches the Rfam family "Eukaryotic small subunit ribosomal RNA", at positions 172 to 694 of the family's 1831-position model. The record is from RNAcentral.